Molecule: ribosomal RNA, 301 nt
Filed under: uncultured bacterium
Lineage: Bacteria
Description: partial 16S ribosomal RNA
Rfam family: Bacterial small subunit ribosomal RNA
Source: RNAcentral
CAGUAGCCGCGGGAAUACAGAGGGUGCGAGCGUUAAUCGGAUUUACUGGGCGUAAAGCGUGCGUAGGCGGCUUCUUAAGUCGGAUGUGAAAUCCCUGAGCUUAACUUAGGAAUUGCAUUCGAUACUGGGAAGCUAGAGUAUGGGAGAGGAUGGUAGAAUUCCAGGUGUAGCGGUGAAAUGCGUAGAGAUCUGGAAGAAUACCGAUGGCGAAGGCAGCCAUCUGGCCUAAUACUGACGCUGAGGUACGAAAGCAUGGGGAGCAAACAGGAUUAGAUACCCCUGUAGUCCCUGUCUCUUAUAC